UUAAGUGAAUAAGGGCGUACGGUGGAUGCCUAGGCACUUGGAACUGAAGAAGGACGCAACAAACGGCGAAACGCGACGGGGAGUGGUACGUACACAAAGAUCCGUCGAUAUCCGAAUGGGGAAACCCGGCAGCAGUAAUGAGCUGUCACCCAUGAGUGAAUACAUAGCUCAUGAGGGAGGUACCCGGAGAACUGAAACAUCUAAGUAUCCGGAGGAAAAGAAAAUAAGAAUGAUUCCGUAAGUAGCGGCGAGCGAACGCGGAGGAGCCCAAACCAGAUCUUGAUCUGGGGUUGUAGGACCACGAAAUGGCAAGAGCAUGGCUAAGAGAACGGCAUUGAAAGGCCGACCGGAGAGGGUGCAAGUCCCGUAACUGAAAGUCUAGCGAAGCCUAGUGGUAUCCUGAGUACGGCGAGACACGAGAAAUCUUGUCGGAAGCAGGCGGGACCAUCCGUCAAGGCUAAAUAUACCCAAGUGACCGAUAGUGAACCAGUACCGUGAGGGAAAGGUGAAAAGAACCGCGGGAGCGGAGUGAAAUAGAACCUGAAACCGUAUGCUUACAAGAAGUCAGAGCCCGUUAAAGGGUGAUGGCGUGCCUUUUGUAGAAUGAACCGGCGAGUUACUGUAUGGAGCGAGGUUAAGCAGGAUAUGCGGAGCCGAAGCGAAAGCGAGUCUUAAGAGGGCGAAAGUUGCAUGCAGUAGACCCGAAACCGGGUGAUCUAGCCAUGACCAGGUUGAAGUUGGGGUAAAACCCGAUGGAGGACCGAACCGACCCCCGUUGAAACGUUGGCGGAUGAGUUGUGGCUAGGGGUGAAAUUCCAAUCGAACCCGGAGAUAGCUGGUUCUCCCCGAAAUAGCUUUAGGGCUAGCGUCGAGGUAGAGAGUUGCGUGAAGGUAGAGCACUGAAUAUGUGAUGGCCCCAUCUCGGGGUACUGAGCAUAAUCAAACUGCGAAUGUCACGGAAACAUACUCGGCAGUCAGACAGCGGGUGAUAAGGUCCGUUGUCAAGAGGGAAACAGCCCAGACCAUCAGCUAAGGUCCCAAAAUGUAUGCUAAGUGGAAAAGGAUGUGGAGAUGUACAGACAACUAGGAGGUUGGCUCAGAAGCAGCCAUCCUUUAAAGAGUGCGUAACAGCUCACUAGUCGAAUGACUCUGCGCCGAUAAUUUACCGGGGCUAAGCAUACUACCGAAGCUAUGGAUCCCAAGGGAUGGUAGGGGAGCGUUCCAUGAACGGAGAAGCGCGAUCGAGAGGACGCGUGGAGAUCAUGGAAGAGAGAAUGCCGGUGUGAGUAGCGGAACGUGGGUGAGAAUCCCACGCACCGAAAACCCAAGGUUUCCAGAGGAAGGUUCGUCCGCUCUGGGUAAGUCGGGACCUAAGGCGAGGCCGAGAGGCGUAGUCGAUGGACAACAGGUAGAGAUUCCUGUACUCAUAUAUAUGUGAAGGAAUGACGGAGAGAGGAAGCUGCAGCCAGCGGCUGGAAGAGCUGGUGCAAGCGAGAUAUCGGGAUGGCAGGCAAAUCCACCAUCCGAAACGAGAAGGCGUGAAGCGUACGGAAAGCUAAGGCGAGUACGGAAGGCAGUGGAGGAGCUUCCAAGAAAAGUUUCUAACGAAAGUAUAUGUGACCCGUACCGAAAAUGGACACACAUGGGUGAGGAGAGAAUCCUAAGGUGAGCGAGAGAACUAUAGCUAAGGAACUCUGCAAAAUGACUCCGUAACUUAGGGAGAAGGAGUGCUCAUAGAGAUAUGAGCCGCAGUGAAACGGCCCAAGCGACUGUUUACCAAAAACACAGCUCUAUGCUAAGUCGAAAGACGACGUAUAUGGGGUGACGCCUGCCCGGUGCUGGAAGGUUAAGAGGAUGUGUCAGCGCAAGCGAAGCAUUGAAUUGAAGCCCCAGUAAACGGCGGCCGUAACUAUAACGGUCCUAAGGUAGCGAAAUUCCUUGUCAGGUAAGUUCUGACCCGCACGAAAGGCGUAACGAUUUGGGCGCUGUCUCAGCUGUAGACUCGGUGAAGUCUUAGUACCUGUGAAGAUGCAGGUUACCCGCGACUAGACGGAAAGACCCCAUGGAGCUUUACUGUAGCUUGAUAUUGGACUUUGAUGCAAGAUGUACAGGAUAGGUAGGAGACUGAGAGACAUGCACGCCAGUGUGUGAGGAGUCAAUGUUGGGAUACUACUCUUCUUGUAUUGGAGUUCUAACCGGAUGCCAUGGAACUGGCAACGGGACAGUGUCAGGUGGGCAGUUUGACUGGGGCGGUCGCCUCCCAAAGAGUAACGGAG
RNAcentral lists this ribosomal RNA (2276 nucleotides) under human gut metagenome. RNAcentral describes it as "bacterial LSU rRNA". It matches the Rfam family "Bacterial large subunit ribosomal RNA", at positions 1 to 2305 of the family's 2925-position model. The record is from RNAcentral.